UACGGGGGGGGCAAGCGUUGUUCGGAAUUACUGGGCGUAAAGGGCGCGUAGGCGGCCUACUAAGUCGGACGUGAAAUCCCUCGGCUCAACCGAGGAACUGCGUCCGAUACUGGUGGGCUUGAAUCCGGGAGAGGGAUGUGGAAUUCCAGGUGUAGCGGUGAAAUUCGUAGAUAUUCGCAAGAACACCAGUGGCGAAGGCGGCUCACUGGCCCGAUACUGACGCUGAGGCACGAAAGCGUGGGGAGCAAACAG
Molecule: ribosomal RNA, 252 nt
Filed under: uncultured bacterium
Lineage: Bacteria
Description: partial 16S ribosomal RNA
Rfam family: Bacterial small subunit ribosomal RNA
Source: RNAcentral